UUUUUGCACGUAAAAAUACUCACACUUUGACAAGCUGAAACAAUCUUUGAGAGGCCUGUGGCCAAAUGGUAUUCUAAUAGUUCACUAACUUGAGCAUUGUUAUAAGAUUUCUACUUCUUUUAUAAAAAAUAAAAAAUAAUUGCCAGUACAUUGGCACCAGUUGCUUCAUCUUUCAAUGUAGUCUUCAACCUUGCCUUUCAAGUUCAUAUCUUUCUUCUAUACUACUGCUGUUUUCAUUUAUUGGGCUUUUCCUUAGUCAUUAACAUACUGUAACGUAAGGCUGUUGCAAAUUCAGUCUGCUCACUGUCAGCAAUGUUGCUCAUUCUUGAGUUAAACUGAAAGCUUUUUCUGCUUCUGAGCUUCUACUUAAUUUCUCAUGUCUUCUUAGGAUGUUCUUAUAGUUCAGACUAUCCCAUGUAUUCAUUAACUCUGGCACAGCAUCAUUAGAAAUUUAAGUUAGACCUGAAACAGGCUACUGCAGGGCCUUGUGCAGUCAAUAAAAAAGCUGCCAAGGAUAUGAAUGGCUGUGAAAGAUAACGAGAUGGAAAAGGUAUCCAAAGAUUUAAAAGAAAAGGGAUCUUUAGGCAUAAAAAACCAAAGAAACAUCUUAAAAAAUACAUGUAUAGUAUGUUUUCAUCUUGAAUCCAGAACUGAAGACUCAUUUGCACCAAGUAGUGUUCUUUAAAAUCCAUCUCUCACAUUUUUUUUUCCUAGGAAGACAAUUAUUACUUGUUUAGCACCCUAUUUAACUUAUGUAAAAAUAGUAAAUAUAACCUACAGGAACCCUGCUCUUAGAAAACAGUCAGAUUUUUGGCAUGUUGCUAAUUCUCUAUGUCAAUCAAGAUGCAAUAAUUUCAUAAACAGGCCUAGGGCAUGCUUGCCAUGUCCUCUCUGACUGCUACCUUUUCUCUCUACCUGAUCAAAGUGAUCAUUACUGUUCAUUAACAUGGCAUUUGGAGGAAUCCUUAUUGAAAGGACCCUAAGAGGUAAACUUAUUUCUUUGUAGGAGUAGAGGCUGGAAUGCGUAGUUUUUUCCCUAGAUCUGAAACUGAUGGAAGGGAGGCAGAAAAUCUGUACUAAAAUGUUCAGCUUCUCAGUGUUCUCAUUGAACAAGGUACUUGGCAUAAACUGAUUUUUUUAGACUUGGUGCCUUUCUCUGUCCUUCAGUUUUUGGGGUUUUUUUUUAAUUGUCUUCAUCCUGUCAAAUAACCUGUAUGAAAAAUUUUGUAAUGAAACUGUAGAUAAGAGCUUUUGUAUUGAUCUUGCUUGUAGUGGCUCUGCAGUUGUUCUGCAGUCUCUUGGAGCAUUCCCAGUUGCCUGUGGGGCAAUCGGGAUGUAUCUAUUUACUGUUUAAGGGAGCCAUUAAAGUUUGGGUUUGGUUGGAGGAGGGAAGGUGCUGAGUAACAGAGGUAAGACAAAAUAGUAUCUCUGGAUUUAGAAGAUCUUAAGGACCUCCUUGCUUUAAUUUCAAGUGAGGAUAAGUACGGCAUGGAACUAAGAUCCAGAUCCAAACUGGAGAGAAGCUGAGUUACACAAUGGUUCCUGAUUCUUGUGUUCAUUAAAAUAGGUGUCUCUGUCUUUCCUUUACUUGCUGCAGCUGGGCUUUUAUACUUUGUUUGGCUGGAUUACAGGUAAUUAGUACCAAAUACAGAAGGGAUAGAUCUGGCUGAUACACUGCUUCUGGAGGUCUUAAAUUAGAGAAAAAAAUCAGCUGUCUACCAUUUUGGUGGUGAUCCAAGGCCUAAAUGAAAUGUAAUGUGAGAAGUGGCCUACUGUGUUAGGCAAAACAAACAGACCUUCUUAGAUAGGUCUGGUGAAAGCUUAAUACCUGAUAAAAGUUCCUCAGGAUUGUAUCAGGUGUAGAAAAGGGUGCCAGAUCUACCUGGGGAGUAAUAUCUGGGAGGUAGUCCAAAUAAUUAAAUCCUGGCAGUUUCUUGUGAGGGAUAUUUCCUGUGAUAUAACUCCAGUAUUUGAUGCAGGUCUCCUGGGAUGUGCAAUGGCUACCUGGCUGCUGGUGUUCACCACGUGAGAAGGCUCUGUCUGGGAGAUGACUCUCUGAUCCUUCUUAUGCUUCUCAGGGUCUGGCAGAGGUGUCCUGCUGAUGUUCUCCUCCAUGCUGGGCAAAGGCAUUUCUGGGUCCUGCUUUCUCAGGGGAACUGACACAGGCAUGCUGUGUGCCUGGUCCUGUGGGGCAGCUGACUGCUGGCUGGGCCUCUGGAUCCCAGUGGAGACCACAUGGGAGACUUGUACAGGAAUACAGCUCCUGUGCAUGGUGUAUGUGCCAUGGGAUGAGGUGCAGCGCAGUGCAGCCCCCAAGCUCUAAGAGGUUGUGGCUGUGCCCUGCUCACUGUGGUUGCCCCAACAGCUGGGGAUCGUGUUCUCCUCCAUUGGCAUCUCUGUGAUCCUCUCCUGCAGGACUGGUCCAGGAGAUUCCCAGAAAUGGGAGGAAGAAAACUUCUUGAGACAGAAUUUUAUUAGUGUGUCCAUGGUGAAACCACCCCCUUGUGAAUCCCCCUUUACGGGGAAGCAAGUAUCCAAUACUCGUAACUGCUCAUGAUCAAAAGGAACAGCAAAAGUGACAGGGUCUGCAAAACCUCACCAAGUUUCAUUAGUAACUUACACACUUGGCAUGGAAAUUGCUGUGUUUAUGUUAGUCCAUACCCUGUCCUAUACACAAGGCAGAGGGUUUGGGAGAAAGGGCAGGGUGAAAGGGAAAGCAGAGAAUAAAACAUUAAUUAAACAGAGGGAGGGAAAGAAAAAAAAGUGCAUGAGAGAUUACUAGUCCCAGUUCUAGAUUACACACUUGGCAUGGAAAUUGCUAUGUGAGUCCUAGCCUACCCUAUAUACGCAUGGCAGAGGGUUUGGUAGAAAGGGGAAUGGUGAAAGACAAGGGAGAAAAGGAGAGGUGGAUUAAAGAGAAGGAGAGAGAGAGAAAGAAAAAGGGAGAGAAAAAGAGACCAGCAAUCCUGGUUCCAUCAUCAACCCAGAUGAUGGGAUGUCGUUCCUGGUUCUGUCAUUGAUGCAGAUGAUAAAAUAGAUGUCCAUGGUCCUGUAAGCACUGCCCAGGAUUUAGGGGCUUCAUUUUUUUGCUCGGAAACCAGGUUUCUUGCUUUGUAUGCCAAUUACUUGUCAUGCACAGUCCAUUUUUUCAGACCUUUCUGGAAAUAGGUCAGAGGCUUUGUGGUGGUUCUUGCAUGAUCUUGACUCUGCUCUACAGCCUAUGCUCACUUCUUGGCUUUAUUCUUACUGUUUUGCUGUACUGUGUUGUGUUUACCUCCAGGCACUAGAACAAGGAUAUUGUCCUAGAGGAGUGGUGUCCUACCUCUGCAUGGCCCCCUUCUCCGGCCACAAGUUGUUCUUUCUGAUGUGCAGUUAUUACCAAUAGUGCUGGGUUCCUCCCAACAGCUCUCGCAUGUUUUCACCAGGUCCUUGGCUGACUCCACAGCCAUGCAGUUGGCAGUGUUUGAGACACAAACACAGUGCGGGCCUCUUCUCUUCUGGCAUUCUCCACCUGUGUUGCUCCCAUGGGAGGCUGAGCAGGCUCAGGGCCAGCCAGCAUCUCUGGAGCCUGAGCCGGUGCUGGCAGUGGGCCACUAAUGCUCAGGGCAUCCCCCCAUGCAGGCAGAGUGGCACUCAGAGCCCGGAGUGCCCACCUGAAGUGGGAGGGAUGCUGGCUGUGGGCAGCCUGAGCCCUGCUGAGGCCAUGGGUUCCCCUCUGGCAGCCCUGCACUGGCCCCUUACCAAAGGCCUGUGCCUCGCAAGGGGUGAGCCCCUCGUAUGCAGGAGUAGUGAAGCUUUGGCCUCUGUCCCUUUGCACCUAGGCUUGGUGUGGCUUGCCUUCUCUUUUGGGCAGUUCUUUGGAACCUCCUGCUUAGGACAGGUCAUGGACUUUAAUUUUCCCUUUGCUACAGCUCUUGCUUGAGAUUCCCACUUACAGCCGUAGAAAAUGUAAUUGAGAAAACUCCAGAAUGGGGCCUGGAAUUGAACUUUAUUGGCAGGAAAGGCAUAAAUAUGAUCCUUCCAGUGCACUUCUAAGCAGAAGGAUUUGGGAGAAUAAGCUUUAGCAAGCAUUUAAAGAGGCAAAGCAUUUAUGAAUAUUCUGAAGUGAACUUCCUGAAAAGAAACCAUUUUGUUGAGGUGAUUCUUCCCUGGUUAAACUGACUGCAAUGCAAUUUCAUUGUCUGAAAUACUUUCUUGCUUUUUGCACAGAUUUGUGUGGCUCCUCUGUGUUAGUUAUACCUGUGUUCAUUGUUUGAACAAGCUGAAAACUCCAGGUGUCUCAGAGCCAAAAAAAAAUUCUGAAGAAACUUACCAACUGGACUGUAUGAGAUGCUGUUUUCUGCAGCCUUCCUCCCUUUUUGAGUGGAUCUGUUUCCCGCGCUGCGGAGAACCGUCUGCCUCGUUUGCCUUCUUCGUGCCUGCGCCUCGUUCCUGCGGCUGUCUGCCUUGCCUCCCAAGGUGCUGCAUUCCCCGCCACGCCGCGAGGGAGAGCACCUUAGGCUGCUGUACGCCUCGCCUGCCUCCGGUCCGGAGUCAGAGCUAUGUGGCCACAUAGCAGUCACACACAGGCUGUUGGCAUGCUACCUGUGGAGCAAGCUGGGCUCAAACUCCUGCACAGCAACAUCUACUAUAAAGAUACCUCUGUUUAUUACACAUAUUUUUAAUUUCAUGAUCUCAUUUUAGAGUCAAGUAAAAAGUUGUAUCCAACAGGAUAGGGGGAAGCUUGUCCAUGAGCUUACCUGGGUUUAUCAGGUCCAGAGGAUGAGUCCUUAGUAUUGCUGGUGAGAGGAGCAUUUAGCAGGAGUCUGUGGCACAUUUUUUCGUUUAACCAGAAAUAUUUAAUAAGAAAGUGAAGUAGCACAUUCUAGCACAUCACUCUUGCAAUAAAACAUUUUUCAAUCCACAGGCUGCUGGCAUUUAGUCCUUUGAAAAGCUAAUAACCUUUGAAAUUUCAUCAUUCAUAAGGAAACUGUUACAUUUUCUGAAAAAAUAGGUAUUCAGCUAUGCUUUCCAUAUUAAAUAUUAGGAUUUGGUUGAGAAAACAGGAUUCAUACUUGUAUUUGAAAACUGUGAUUCCUCUGUAAAGGUCUCAAUUCUGUAAUAACAUUUGAGUUUUAUAGAUUUUUAAUGCUGCCACUUAGGAACUUUGUAAACUCCACAUCUGGAAAAAAUGCACAUAAUUUGUAAUCAUGGUAAUCUUUUAGGUUAAUUUUGUUUACCCCUGACAGAAAGCCAAAUUUAAAUAUAGUUAAUUAUGCUGCGCUUCUUUUAUUGUGAACAUUAGGAAA
Camarhynchus parvulus is the source of this 5288-nucleotide long non-coding RNA. RefSeq lists it as uncharacterized. The transcript is spliced from 3 exons. The record is from RefSeq and is a predicted model, not a curated record. Lineage: Eukaryota; Metazoa; Chordata; Aves; Passeriformes; Thraupidae.